This 258-nucleotide ribosomal RNA is filed under the name uncultured bacterium. RNAcentral's name for it is "partial 16S ribosomal RNA". It matches the Rfam family "Bacterial small subunit ribosomal RNA", at positions 96 to 354 of the family's 1533-position model. The record is from RNAcentral.
UGGCGGACGGGUGAGUAACGCGUAAGCAACCUGCCCUUCGGAGGGGGAUAGUGUCUGGAAACGGACAGUAAUACCGCAUAACGUAUUUUUACCGCAUGAUAGAAAUACCAAAACUGAGGUGCCGAAGGAUGGGCUCGCGUUGGAUUAGAUAGUUGGUGGGGUAACGGCCUACCAAGUCGACGAUCCAUAGCCGGACUGAGAGGUUGAACGGCCACAUUGGGACUGAGACACGGCCCAGACUCCUACGGAAGGCAGCAG